GUGGGUGAAGAAGGCCCUAGGGUCGUAAAGGCCUUUCUGCCGCGAAGAUGAUGACCGUACCUGCAGAAGAAGCACCGUCCAACUCCGUCCCAGCAGCCGCGGUAUCACGGAGGGUGCAAGCGUUAAUCGGAAUCACUGGGCGUAACGGGCACGCAGGCGGCCCGUCAAGUGGGAUGUGAAAGCCCCGGGCUCAACCCGGGAAUGGCAUUCCAAACUGGCGGGCUCGAGUCCGAGAGAGGGAGGCAGAAUUCCCCGUGUAGCGGUGAAAUGCGUAGAUAUGGGGAGGAAUACCGGUGGCGAAGGCGGCCUCCUGGCCCGGCACUGACGCUGAGGUGCGAAAGCGUGGGUAGCGAACGGGAUUAGAUACCCCGGUAGUUCACGCCGUAAACGAUGAGGACUAGGUGUUGGGUGGUACGCCCACUCAGUGCCGAAGCUAACGCGUUAAGUCCUCCGCCUGGGGAGUACGGCCGCAAGGCUAAAACUCAAAGGAAUUGACGGAA
This 500-nucleotide ribosomal RNA is filed under the name uncultured Thiohalorhabdus sp. Its description in RNAcentral is "bacterial SSU rRNA". It matches the Rfam family "Bacterial small subunit ribosomal RNA", at positions 401 to 918 of the family's 1533-position model. Lineage: Bacteria; Pseudomonadati; Pseudomonadota; Gammaproteobacteria; Thiohalorhabdales; Thiohalorhabdaceae. The record is from RNAcentral.